AAUAAAGUGCUGGGGAGCUAGCCGUAAGCUGGCUGAGAGGGAGUUGGAGGACUCCGACCCAUAACCUGAUGCGGAUAAUACCGACGUAGGAAGACAACGUAUAUGAGUAG
Molecule: non-coding RNA, 110 nt
Filed under: Clostridiales bacterium CHKCI001
Lineage: Bacteria; Bacillati; Bacillota; Clostridia; Eubacteriales
Also listed under: 1 other name
Description: TPP riboswitch aptamer (THI element)
Rfam family: TPP riboswitch aptamer (THI element)
About the family: Vitamin B(1) in its active form thiamin pyrophosphate (TPP) is an essential coenzyme that is synthesised by coupling of pyrimidine and thiazole moieties in bacteria. The previously detected thiamin-regulatory element, thi box was extended, resulting in a new, highly conserved RNA secondary structure, the THI element, which is widely distributed in eubacteria and also occurs in some archaea.
Source: Rfam by way of RNAcentral